GAAAUGCGAUAAGUAAUGUGAAUUGCAGAAUUCAGUGAAUCAUCGAAUCUUUGAACGCACCUUGCGCUCCUUGGUAUUCCUUGGAGCAUGCCUGUUUGAGUAUCAUGAAAUCUUCAAAGUAAAUCUUUUGUUAACUCAAUUGGUUUCUACUUUGGUAUUGGAGGUCUUUGCAGCUUCACACCUGCUCCUCUUUGUUCAUUAGCUGGAUCUCAGUGUUAUGCUUGGUUCCACUCGGCGUGAUAAGUUAUCUAUCGCUGAGGACACUGUAAAAGGUGGCCAAGGUAAAUGCAGAUGAACCGCUUCUAAUAGUCCAUUGACUUGGACAAUACUUUUAUGAUCUGAUCUCAAAUCAGGUAGGACUACCCGCUAAACUUAAGC
This 378-nucleotide unclassified non-coding RNA is filed under the name plant metagenome. RNAcentral describes it as "partial contains 5.8S ribosomal RNA, internal transcribed spacer 2, and large subunit ribosomal RNA". The stretch from base 1 to 105 matches the Rfam family "5.8S ribosomal RNA", at positions 50 to 154 of the family's 154-position model. The record is from RNAcentral.